This 93-nucleotide transfer RNA is filed under the name Brachyspira pilosicoli B2904. Its description in RNAcentral is "tRNA-Sec". It matches the Rfam family "Selenocysteine transfer RNA". The record is from RNAcentral. RNAcentral also lists the same sequence under 1 other name. Lineage: Bacteria; Pseudomonadati; Spirochaetota; Spirochaetia; Brachyspirales; Brachyspiraceae.
GGAGGUAGAUGAGUCCCGGUGGGCUCCGCGCUCUUCAAAAGCGUUGGACGUUAUAGCAACGUUGGCAGGUUCAACUCCUGCCUCUUCCGAUAA